GACGAACGCUGGCGGCGUGCUUAACACAUGCAAGUCGAGCGGAAAGGCCUGCUUUCCCUUGUGGAUUGCGGGUACUCGAGUGGCGAACGGGUGAGUAACACGUGAGUGAUCUGCCCCCAACUUGGGUAUAAGCCUGGGAAACUGGGUCUAAUUCCCGAUAGGACUGCAGGGUGGUGCCUGUGGUGGAAAACGAUUUUCUAGUGGUUGGGGAUGAGCUCGCGGCCUAUCAGCUUGUUGGUGGGGUAAUGGCCUACCAAGGCGGCGACGGGUAGCCGGCCUGAGAGGGUGGACGGCCACAUUGGGACUGAGAUACGGCCCAGACUCCUACGGGAGGCAGCAGUGGGGAAUAGUGCACAAUGGGCGGAAGCCUGAUGCAGCGACGCCGCGUGGGGGAUGACGGCCUUCGGGUUGUAAACUCCUUUCGACCGCGAGGAAGCCACCUGGUUGGAAGGGUGGUGACGGUAGUGGUAGAAGAAGCACCGGCUAACUACGUG
RNAcentral lists this ribosomal RNA (494 nucleotides) under uncultured bacterium. RNAcentral's name for it is "partial 16S ribosomal RNA". It matches the Rfam family "Bacterial small subunit ribosomal RNA", at positions 28 to 507 of the family's 1533-position model. The record is from RNAcentral.